This 711-nucleotide unclassified non-coding RNA is filed under the name Saxifraga spathularis. RNAcentral describes it as "sequence contains ITS1, 5.8S rRNA gene, ITS2". The stretch from base 259 to 414 matches the Rfam family "5.8S ribosomal RNA". Lineage: Eukaryota; Viridiplantae; Streptophyta; Magnoliopsida; Saxifragales; Saxifragaceae. The record is from RNAcentral.
GAAAGCAAAGCAACUCGCGAACAUGUAGUUAACACUCGGGGAUCCAAGCGCGUCCCCCCGGGGGCGCCCUUUCUUCCCAACGUCGGGGCGGCUUGGCUUUAGUCGCUCGCGCAUGUCGCGAGCUGACGACCCCCGGCCCUCCCGACGCAACAAAAAACCGGCGUGAAAUGCGCCAAGGAACAUGAAAGAGAGUGCGUUCUUCCGGCGUCGGCUUGCGCUGCGCUCGGACGGGCGUCGUCUUCUUGAUGAGUUUAUAAUGACUCUCGGCAACGGAUAUCUCGGCUCUUACAUCGAUGAAGAACGUAGCAAAAUGCGAUACUUGGUGUGAAUUGCAGAAUCCCGUGAACCAUCGAGUCUUUGAACGCAAGUUGCGCCCGAAUCCAUCUGGUCGAGGGCACGUCUGCCUGGGUGUCACGUACACACGCCUCCCGCGAACCUUCCCCUCCUCAUGGACGAAGGGUCUCGCGGGAGCAGAUAUUGGCAUCCCGUGCUAAAUCCGCGCGGCUUGCCUAAAAAUGGAGAGCCGGCGAUGAAACGUCACGUCUAGUGGUGGUUGACGAGGCCUAACGGCCGAACAGUCCGCGGCGUGAGCGUGAGCGUUUGUCGCACGGAAGUCUCAGACGACACCUUGGACGUCCUCUAAUGGGCGCCACUGUCGCGACCCCAGGUCAGGCGGGACUACCCGCUGAAUUUAAGCAUAUCAAUAAGCGG